AAUAUCUUUAAUCCCCUCCCCUCCUCUCCUCUCUCUCAUUUUUAUUUUUAUUUAUUUAUUUAGUUAUUUAUUUUUAAUUUGAAAUUCAACCAACAAUGCUAAGAUGGAGGACAACCUUGACUAUGUGCAUAGAGGUGGAACUUAUAUCUUCAAUAGCUUUAUAAGUCCAUUCAGGGAAAAUGUGGAUGCAUCCACUGAAAAACUAAAAGAAAUUUAAGAAUAGUAAAUCAAAUUACAUAAUUUAACAAGAAGCUGUGAUGGAAUAAUGAAUCUGCAAAGGAUCAAACUGGGAAUGUUUGGAAAAGUAUGUUGGUGUAUAUGGUUUUACAUUGGUCCACCAUGCUUUCAGUAAUAAUAGAGUUAGGCUAUGGAAUCCUUGUUGUUAUGGAACUACAGAGUGCCAACGAAUUUAGAAGUUUGAGUUUGUUCUUAAGUAGCAGAAUUGCUGAGUUGAUGAAAUUUGCAAAAAGGAUGGGUGUUACUGCCACAGAAGAUGGAAGGACGAGAAAAGAAAAUUUAAACUAUGAUCGGAUGUGUCAUAUGUAUGUUAAGUAGCCCUCUCAAGUAUCUACAGAUGGCCUUGUGCAGCUUGUUGGGUUCAGCCGUAUGCAGUCUAAUGAGGACUUAUGCCAAACUUGAUUGAGCCUGCAGCUGGUUGCCAUCUAGUUGAAUGUAUUAUUGAUGGAAAUGAAGUGCGUGAUAAUUGCUCAGAAAUCACAUUUUCCAAGUUCCUGCUAACAAUAUUCUGCCAUUUUUGCCUUAGCUAGAAAGAAACAAACAUUUAUUCUAAGAGACAGUGUUGGCUUUUUCCUUGAUGGCACUUUUAGUCAUUCACACCAUCUCUCUAUAGGAAAAUGGAAUACCUAGGAGGCAGCAGGAAUUCAUCAUGUACUGCUUCUUGUGAUUAGGUGCUGAAUUCUCUGAUACUCCAACUCUUCAUUUUGCCCUGCUGUGCCCAUGUCGACACAACACGACAUGGAACAUGUGUCCGACUUAUAUUCAUGCGGUCGUAUGCUCGAUUGACAGAGAUCUCUCAAGAUGAAA
RNAcentral lists this unclassified non-coding RNA (1044 nucleotides) under Hevea brasiliensis (rubber tree). Lineage: Eukaryota; Viridiplantae; Streptophyta; Magnoliopsida; Malpighiales; Euphorbiaceae. The record is from RNAcentral.